RNAcentral lists this ribosomal RNA (256 nucleotides) under uncultured bacterium. RNAcentral's name for it is "partial 16S ribosomal RNA". It matches the Rfam family "Bacterial small subunit ribosomal RNA", at positions 524 to 776 of the family's 1533-position model. The record is from RNAcentral.
UACGGAGGGUGCGAGCGUUGUCCGGAAUCAUUGGGCGUAAAGGGCGCGUAGGUGGCCCGGUCAGUCUUUGGUGAAAGCGCGGGGCUCAACCCUGCGUCGGCCAGGGAUACUGCCGCGGCUCGAGCACUGUAGAGGCAGGCGGAAUUCCGGGUGUAGCGGUGGAAUGCGUAGAGAUCCGGAAGAACACCGGUGGCGAGGGCGGCCUGCUGGGCAGUUUGGCUGACACUGAGGCGCGACAGCGUGGGGAGCAAACAGG